UUUUUUUUUUUUACGCUCUGAAAACCUCUCGAGAGCAAAGAAUGAUGACGCUGGUACAGUGGGAGCCGACGCACGCUUUAAAAAAAGGAGGGGGGGGUAAAAGAAGAAGAAGGAUGGAUACACAAAGCGACCCUACAGUAUAGCCUAAUCAGAUGACAGUGAUACGAUGAGACCCGGUUUCAUAGCCUCCUGUAGAGCAGACAAUCAACUAAUUGCCGGAACUUUUUCAUAACAACAGCGACAAGAAGAACCACAUGAAUCCGGCUGCUAGAGACUGACAAUGAUCAUUAAAAAUAUGAGCAUAAAAAAGCACAAGGCAGCGCCAUUAUCACACACGGGUAUGUUCCGCUCAUGAUGGCAUUACUGUCCGUCAUAAAAAAUGCGACCAAGUUUCUAGAGGAGAGAGCGUGUGCGUAAAGUGUCCUCCUCCGUGAUUCACGCUUGCUCUCUGAAGUAGGAGGAGGACUCAUAAUUUGAGAUCACGGAGCUUAUAAUAGGAGUAGGUUAUGCCAACUGCUUCCACCUCUCAGCACUGCAUAAAGGAAGAGGUGCAGGUGAGUAUUUGUGCUCAUUUAUGUUUUUUUGUUUUUGUUUUUUAACCUGGACAGUGUUUUAGAUGCAUUAAAAGUGGGCUGCUCUCACGCAAUAUGCUGAUCCGAAUCUAAAUCAAAACGCGUGUCUUUUGUUUUGACAGCCUCUAACUUUUUUGUCGCUUCCUCUUCGUUAUCGCUUAUGCUUUUCUCUUUUUUUUUUUUUGCACGAGAGAACGAGCUCGGUUUUGACGCAUGAAAACGGCUUUACGUGGCAAAGAAGAAGUGAAUGAAAGAUGAUGCAUGCCACGUAAAAUGCCUGAGGGAGCAAGUGUAAUCUAAAUUGGAUAUACAGGGUAUUAUUACACAACAUUAUGCGUUGUGGCGGACUAAUUGCGUGGCUGGGUGAGUUAAACAGUCAGUUAAUGUCGAGUGGCGGACAGGUUUCUGGAGCGCACAAGGUCAGCUCUGCACCCAAGUCUUUAGUGGUAGACUAUAUAGGAAAAAAAAUGCUUGAAGUAUUCAUGGGAUUUUUUAACCAUUCUAAAUCUGUGUCCUAAACCGAUUAGUUGACACCAAUUUUUCUUUGAUGUAUUAGCUGAGGGCUUUUGCCACUUGGAAGCCAAUUGAAAUUCAAAACAGUUUUCGCUCCAAAUGCUUUGGGGAGAUCUGCUGCAAAUAAUGGAUGUAAUUUAUUUUUGACCUUGCAUUUUUUUUUCUUCUUGAAGAAGGGGGUUAUUAAAUGAUUAAACAUAUGUGCACUGCGCUGCUUUACUAAACAACUGGCAUCCUAUACAGCUGUGAUCAGCCAUUAUUAUGAAAGUACAGCAGUAGUUUCACUCGUUUUAUUUAUGCGUUUUAUACGCAUGGCAACCGACAAUUUUUUUUCUUUAUAGUGUUUUUUUUUUCUAAACUCACUGUUACAAAGUUGUUGUUUUUGUUCUCCUAAAUGCAUUAAAACAUUAAUUCACUGUUUGAUUGUCUUUGUUUUGAAUUUGUUCAGGUCCAUGUUGAGGAAGUCAUCUCAUGUCACCAAGCAGUCAGUGAAAUGCAGCCCUCCCAAAACACACACACACACACACACACACACACACACACACACACACACACACACACACACGCAAACACAAAACUUAACUGUGGCAACAAUUAAGUUCACUUUACCUUCUGUUUGAAGUGAUGUUUAUCCGGCACAUCCACUUUAAUAUAAUACCCAGUUGUGUAUUUCUGUAAUAUUUUUGUUUUCAAUUUAUUUUAUUAGCUCUGUCAUACUUUCUAGGAACUUAUGUGUUAAUGUGGAAAAGUUUAAUGUUUUUCCUGGUGCCACAGCCAUUGUUCUCAUGAGCUGACACACAGUUAUUUGGCUUCGAAAAUCACACAAAUGACACAAAGCACAAUGAGCCAGUUUGGCUUUUGGGAGAGAGAGAGUCUAUUUUCUGAUCUCAUUCCUGUUCUUGUGGUUUCUUUUUCUUUUAUUGACCUGAAUGAAGACGUGGAGUGUG
Molecule: long non-coding RNA, 2032 nt
Organism: Scatophagus argus
Lineage: Eukaryota; Metazoa; Chordata; Actinopteri; Scatophagidae
Exons: 2
Source: RefSeq, a predicted model, not a curated record